RNAcentral lists this ribosomal RNA (254 nucleotides) under uncultured bacterium. Its description in RNAcentral is "partial 16S ribosomal RNA". It matches the Rfam family "Bacterial small subunit ribosomal RNA", at positions 524 to 776 of the family's 1533-position model. The record is from RNAcentral.
UACGAAGGGGGCUAGCGUUAAUCGGAAUUACUGGGCGUAAAGCGUGCGCAGGCGGUGAUGUAAGACAGGUGUGAAAUCCCCGGGCUUAACCUGGGAACUGCAUCUGUGACUGCAUCGCUGGAGUACGGUAGAGGGGGAUGGAAUUCCGCGUGUAGCAGUGAAAUGCGUAGAUAUGCGGAGGAACACCGAUGGCGAAGGCAAUCCCCUGGACCUGUACUGACGCUCAUGCACGAAAGGCGUGGGGAGCAAACAGG